UCGCGAAUCAUUCACAAUGGGCGCAAGCCUGAUGAUGCCACGCCGCGUGCGGGAUGAAGGCCCUCUGGGUUGUAAACCGCUGUCAAGAGGGGGGAAACGCGUGGAGUUAACAGCUCCAAACCUGACUGCCCACUAAAGGAAGCCCCGGCAAAACAUGUGCCAGCAGCCGCGGUAAUACAUGUGGGGCAAGCGUUGUUCGGAAUUACUGGGCAUAAAGGGUGCGUAGGCGGUUUGUUAAGUCAGGGGUGAAAGUUUUCGGCCCAACCGGAAAAUGGCCUUUGAUACUGGCGAACUCGAGUGCGUGAGGGGUAACCGGAACGAGUGGUGUAGCGGUGAAAUGCGUAGAUAUCACUCGGAAGGCCAACGGCGAAGGCAGGUUACUGGUACGCAACUGACGCUGAGGCACGAAAGCGUGGGGAGCAAACAGGAUUAGAUACCCCCGUAGUCC
This 448-nucleotide ribosomal RNA is filed under the name uncultured bacterium. RNAcentral's name for it is "bacterial SSU rRNA". It matches the Rfam family "Bacterial small subunit ribosomal RNA", at positions 355 to 796 of the family's 1533-position model. The record is from RNAcentral.